GUCGAGGGGUAUUGUUCUUCGGAAUGAGAGACCGGCGCACGGGUGCGUAACUCGUAUGCAAUCUACCUUUUACAGAGGGAUAGCCCAGAGAAAUUUGGAUUAAUACCUCAUAGUAUAUAGAGUUGGCAUCAACACUAUAUUAAAGUCACAACGGUAAAAGAUGAGCAUGCGUCCCAUUAGCUAGUUGGUAAGGUGACGGCUUACCAAGGCGACGAUGGGUAGGGGUCCUGAGAGGGAGAUCCCCCACACUGGUACUGAGACACGGACCAGACUCCUACGGGAGGCAGCAGUGAGGAAUAUUGGUCAAUGGGCGCAAGCCUGAACCAGCCAUGCCGCGUGCAGGAUGACGGUCCUAUGGAUUGUAAACUGCUUUUGUACGGGAAGAAACAGCGAUUCGUGAAUCGCCUUGACGGUACCGUAAGAAUAAGGAUCGGCUAACUCCGUGCCAGCAGCCGCGGUAAUACGGAGGAUCCAAGCGUUAUCCGGAAUCAUUGGGUUUAAAGGGUCCGUAGGCGGUUUGGUAAGUCAGUGGUGAAAGCCCAUCGCUCAACGGUGGAACGGCCAUUGAUACUGCCAGACUUGAAUUAUUAGGAAGUAACUAGAAUAUGUAGUGUAGCGGUGAAAUGCUUAGAGAUUACAUGGAAUACCAAUUGCGAAGGCAGGUUACUACUAAUGGAUUGACGCUGAUGGACGAAAGCGUGGGUAGCGAACAGGAUUAGAUACCCUGGUAGUCCACGCCGUAAACGAUGGAUACUAGCUGUUGGGAGCAAUCUCAGUGGCUAAGCGAAAGUGAUAAGUAUCCCACCUGGGGAGUACGUUCGCAAGAAUGAAACUCAAAGGAAUUGAC
Molecule: ribosomal RNA, 847 nt
Filed under: uncultured bacterium
Lineage: Bacteria
Description: bacterial SSU rRNA
Rfam family: Bacterial small subunit ribosomal RNA
Source: RNAcentral